CCACUAAGCCACCCAGGCGCCCCACUCACUCCCCUUUUUUUAAGCUCCAGAUAAGCAGGGAUCUUUUUUUCACUGCUAAGAUGGAUUGCCAUAUCUAUAUGCACAUUGAGUUUUUUGUUGUAAAUAUUCGUGGUGUAAAACUUACCAUUUUAACUAUUUUCAAGUGUGUGGUUCUGUGGCAUGAAGUCCGUUCCCGUUUGACAGCCAUCACCACCAUAUAGCCACAGAAGCUUCAUCUUAAACUGCAACUCAGAGCCAAUAACAGUAACUCCCAAUUUCUCCUUCCCUUUAUAAACAUUUAUUUUUUACCUUUAAAAUGGCUGAGAUUUCAGUCAGGUUGUGAGUAUGCAGAAGGAAUCCUGCCACCCCAGCCACCGCCCGGUUCUCUUCCCAGAAGUCUUGGUUCUUUAUCUUUCCAUCGAAGUUUAUGCAUGAUACAUGCAAAGACCUUCUUUCCCACCCAGCUUUUCCCAUUUAGCUGCUUCUUGGAGAUCAUCUGGUUCUAUUGUCUACAUGUGCCUUAACCUUCCCAACUCGCCUCCUGUUGGUGCACAAUUAGGCGGUGACCAAUUUUUUUUAUAUGGUAUAAGCUGCUUUUUAUGUAGCGCAUUUUGUUUAAGUGUUAGUUUUCCUUAGGAGAUAUUUCAGGAAUUGGAAUCACCGGGCCCGGUAGAACGUGUCAGGUAAUUUUGAUAGCUGUUGGCAAAUUCCUAGAAGGAAGUUGAAUCCGUUGUUGAAGCCUGGCCACCAAAGUGUGGAGUUUUGGAUAGCAUCUGUUGAUUACCACUGUGUAGAAAGAUGGGGUUCUGUUCUACCCCAACAACAUCCCUUCCUGCCUGUCCUCCUCGUGCAGUCAAUGUUUCAAAGGUGCGUGGAAAACGGAGUAAAGCUUGAACUUUCAAGGCCAAGUACCAAGAAUGAAGAGCAGGGUGUACUCCUGUGAUCUCGCAGUGUUGAUGAGAGGAAGUCUCGGGUGGUGUCCCUCCAGUGUUAAUGUGCACACAAGUCAUCUUGGGAGCUCGUGGAAAUCUGGAUUCAGGAGAUCUGGAUUGCGGCCUCUGCAUUUCUAGCAAGCCCCAGGGGAUGCCAGUGACAAAAGCUGCUGGUCUGAAGGCUACCUGUGAGUAGCAAAGACAGACGACAAGAAGUGCAUCAACUCCAGAAUCAGGCGAACUGAACUUGGGGAGGAUUCCGUGUUGUGGAUCCAGGGCCACCUUGGCUAGAGCCCAGCAUGUUCAGACACCAGGCACCUGCCAACAUCACAGGAAGGUGAGAGGUAGCGGGGCUUGUGGCAGAGAUGGAACAAGAAGCAAUUAAAAACUGUCCCGGCACGAGGUUGCCCCCAGCCUUCACCUUUUCCAACUCCCAAAACUGUCCUUCAUUCUGUCCCUCUUCAGAAAGCAGCUGUAUGACUUUCUCAUCAUCACAAAAGGAAGGCUCUAAAGCCUGUGAUUCUCUUCUAAGCUCUGUCAAAGUCACAUGUACUCCUCUCUCUCCAUUUGUGAAGCCUUCUCGGGGCCCCUCCAGCAGGGCACGAUGCCGGGUGAGGCAGGAGGGAGCCCUGUCCUCGGGAGCUUCACAGCCUGCCUGUGGAGAGGAGACAGCUCGAGUGUUGCUGGAGGUGGUGUGAAUGCUCAGGCCUCACAGACCAGUCUGGGGGAUGACAUGAUUGUCAACUGUAUCUUGAACAAAGGUCACUGGCCACAUGGAUGACUUGGAGCAGGGAGACCCCUAAAGGUUGUCACGGUAGUCUGUAACCUCUGCUGUCCGCUGCAGCCUAGAUGGUGACAUCUGUCAUCUACAGCUGUGGUGGUCUGUGACAUCUGUCGUCUAUAGACUAUGAUAGCGUGUCGUCUGUCGACCCUGAGAGCCCAUGUUUGUCGUCUAUAGACCAUGAUGGUCUGUCACCUGUGUCGUCUAUAGACCAGGAUGGUCCGUGUCGUCUGUUAACUAUGACAGCCCAUGUCUGUCGUCUAUAGACCAUGACAAUCUGUCAUCUGUGUUGUCUGUAGGCCAGGACGGUCCAUGUCGUCUGUCAU
Callorhinus ursinus (northern fur seal) is the source of this 2039-nucleotide long non-coding RNA. RefSeq lists it as uncharacterized. The record is from RefSeq and is a predicted model, not a curated record. NCBI's taxonomy places the organism in Eukaryota, Metazoa, Chordata, Mammalia, Carnivora, Otariidae.